AGCAGCACACAUACUAUUAAUAAAAUUUGAAACAAUACAGAGAAGAUUAGCAUGGCCCCUGCACAAGGAUAACAUGCAAAUUCAUGAAGCAUUCCAUAUUUUU
Molecule: small nuclear RNA, 103 nt
Organism: Balaenoptera musculus (blue whale)
Lineage: Eukaryota; Metazoa; Chordata; Mammalia; Artiodactyla; Balaenopteridae
Source: Ensembl